Molecule: transfer RNA, 73 nt
Filed under: Alligator mississippiensis (American alligator)
Lineage: Eukaryota; Metazoa; Chordata; Crocodylia; Alligatoridae
Rfam family: tRNA
About the family: Transfer RNA (tRNA) molecules are approximately 80 nucleotides in length.
Source: Rfam by way of RNAcentral
GCCCUGGUGGCCUAAUGAAUAAGAUACUGGUUUUCUAAGCCAGAGAUUGUGGGUUCAGGUUCCACCUGGGGGG